GGGACACGUGGUAUCCUGUCUGAAUAUGGGGGGACCAUCCUCCAAGGCUAAAUACUCCUGACUGACCGAUAGUGAACCAGUACCGUGAGGGAAAGGCGAAAAGAACCCCGGCGAGGGGAGUGAAAAAGAACCUGAAACCGUGUACGUACAAGCAGUGGGAGCACGCUUAGGCGUGUGACUGCGUACCUUUUGUAUAAUGGGUCAGCGACUUAUAUUCUGUAGCAAGGUUAACCGAAUAGGGGAGCCGAAGGGAAACCGAGUCUUAACUGGGCGUUAAGUUGCAGGGUAUAGACCCGAAACCCGGUGAUCUAGCCAUGGGCAGGUUGAAGGUUGGGUAACACUAACUGGAGGACCGAACCGACUAAUGUUGAAAAAUUAGCGGAUGACUUGUGGCUGGGGGUGAAAGGCCAAUCAAACCGGGAGAUAGCUGGUUCUCCCCGAAAGCUAUUUAGGUAGCGCCUCGUGAAUUCAUCUCCGGGGGUAGAGCACUGUUUCGGCAAGGGGGUCAUCCCGACUUACCAACCCGAUGCAAACUGCGAAUACCGGAGAAUGUUAUCACGGGAGACACACGGCGGGUGCUAACGUCCGUCGUGAAGAGGGAAACAACCCAGACCGCCAGCUAAGGUCCCAAAGUCAUGGUUAAGUGGGAAACGAUGUGGGAAGGCCCAGACAGCCAGGAUGUUGGCUUAGAAGCAGCCAUCAUUUAAAGAAAGCGUAAUAGCUCACUGGUCGAGUCGGCCUGCGCGGAAGAUGUAACGGGGCUAAACCAUGCACCGAAGCUGCGGCAGCGACACUAUGUGUUGUUGGGUAGGGGAGCGUUCUGUAAGCCUGUGAAGGUGUGCUGUGAGGCAUGCUGGAGGUAUCAGAAGUGCGAAUGCUGACAUAAGUAACGAUAAAGCGGGUGAAAAGCCCGCUCGCCGGAAGACCAAGGGUUCCUGUCCAACGUUAAUCGGGGCAGGGUGAGUCGACCCCUAAGGCGAGGCCGAAAGGCGUAGUCGAUGGGAAACAGGUUAAUAUUCCUGUACUUGGUGUUACUGCGAAGGGGGGACGGAGAAGGCUAUGUUGGCCGGGCGACGGUUGUCCCGGUUUAAGCGUGUAGGCUGGUUUUCCAGGCAAAUCCGGAAAAUCAAGGCUGAGGCGUGAUGACGAGGCACUACGGUGCUGAAGCAACAAAUGCCCUGCUUCCAGGAAAAGCCUCUAAGCAUCAGGUAACAUCAAAUCGUACCCCAAACCGACACAGGUGGUCAGGUAGAGAAUACCAAGGCGCUUGAGAGAACUCGGGUGAAGGAACUAGGCAAAAUGGUGCCGUAACUUCGGGAGAAGGCACGCUGAUAUGUAGGUGAAGUCCCUCGCGGAUGGAGCUGAAAUCAGUCGAAGAUACCAGCUGGCUGCAACUGUUUAUUAAAAACACAGCACUGUGCAAACACGAAAGUGGACGUAUACGGUGUGACGCCUGCCCGGUGCCGGAAGGUUAAUUGAUGGGGUCAGCGCAAGCGAAGCUCUUGAUCGAAGCCCCGGUAAACGGCGGCCGUAACUAUAACGGUCCUAAGGUAGCGAAAUUCCUUGUCGGGUAAGUUCCGACCUGCACGAAUGGCGUAAUGAUGGCCAGGCUGUCUCCACCCGAGACUCAGUGAAAUUGAACUCGCUGUGAAGAUGCAGUGUACCCGCGGCAAGACGGAAAGACCCCGUGAACCUUUACUAUAGCUUGACACUGAACAUUGAGCCUUGAUGUGUAGGAUAGGUGGGAGGCUUUGAAGUGUGG
Molecule: ribosomal RNA, 1762 nt
Filed under: Escherichia coli
Lineage: Bacteria; Pseudomonadati; Pseudomonadota; Gammaproteobacteria; Enterobacterales; Enterobacteriaceae
Description: partial 23S ribosomal RNA
Rfam family: Bacterial large subunit ribosomal RNA
Source: RNAcentral